AACGAACGCUGGCGGCAUGCCUAACACAUGCAAGUCGAACGAGACCUUCGGGUCUAGUGGCGCACGGGUGCGUAACGCGUGGGAACCUGCCCUUAGGUUCGGAAUAACUCCCCGAAAGGGGUGCUAAUACCGGAUAAUGUCUUCGGACCAAAGAUUUAUCGCCUUUGGAUGAGCCCGCGUUGGAUUAGCUAGUUGGUAGGGUAAAAGCCUACCAAGGCGACGAUCCAUAGCUGGUCUGAGAGGAUGAUCAGCCACACUGGGACUGAGACACGGCCCAGACUCCUACGGGAGGCAGCAGUGGGGAAUAUUGGACAAUGGGCGAAAGCCUGAUCCAGCAAUGCCGCGUGAGUGAUGAAGGCCUUAUGGUUGUAAAGCUCUUUUACCCGGGAUGAUAAUGACAGUACCGGGAGAAUAAGCUCCGGCUAACUCCGUG
This 433-nucleotide ribosomal RNA is filed under the name uncultured bacterium. RNAcentral's name for it is "partial 16S ribosomal RNA". It matches the Rfam family "Bacterial small subunit ribosomal RNA", at positions 29 to 507 of the family's 1533-position model. The record is from RNAcentral.